This 459-nucleotide ribosomal RNA is filed under the name uncultured bacterium. Its description in RNAcentral is "partial 16S ribosomal RNA". It matches the Rfam family "Bacterial small subunit ribosomal RNA", at positions 338 to 795 of the family's 1533-position model. The record is from RNAcentral.
CCUACGGGAGGCUGCAGUGAGGAAUAUUGGUCAAUGGGAGAGAUCCUGAACCAGCCAAGCCGCGUGAGUGAAGACGGCCCUAUGGUUUGUAAACCUCUUUUGUCGGGGAACAAAACCCGGGACGUUUCCCGGACUGCGUGUAUCCGACGAAAAAGCAUCGGCUAACUCCGUGCCAGCCGCCGCGGUAAUACGGGGGAUGCGGGCGUUAUCCGGAUUUAUUGGGUUUAAAGGGUGCGUAGGCGGUCCGUUAAGUCAGCGGUAAAAUUGCGGGGCUCAACCCAGUCGGGCCGUUGAAACUGGCAGACUUGAGUUGGCGAGAAGUACGCGGAAUGCGAGGUGUAGCGGUGAAAUGCAUAGAGAUCGCGAAGAACUCCGAUUGCGAAGGCAGCGUACUGGCGACAGACUGACGCUGAGGUACGAAAGCGUGGGGAUCGAACAGGAUUAGAUACCCCAGUAGUC